AUGGAGUGGGGAGAUCCCACCAAAUGUCAUAUCUGUGGGGAGGUAGGUCACUGGAAGAGAGAAUGUCCAACUCGUGGCAGAGGCAGGGGAUAUAACAGAGGGGGAGCAGGCAGAGGUAGAAGUGCUCGAGGCAGAGGUGGAUACUCAGAGACCUCAUGGAGCCAGGCUUCUAGAGGUAGAGGUGGCUACUCAGAACACUCAGGGAGUCAGCGGGCUCACAUGGCCGUUGCAGGAGACACUGGGACGUCCAAAGGCAAAGAUGUAGAUGAUGUUGCCUAUGGAGACUUUGCUCACUGGGCCUCCACUGAUGAAGGAGCGACAGACGAGCCAGACGGUUGGGACUGGCACCAGGCGUAG
This 357-nucleotide ribosomal RNA is filed under the name Triticum aestivum (bread wheat). RNAcentral's name for it is "partial small subunit ribosomal RNA". Lineage: Eukaryota; Viridiplantae; Streptophyta; Magnoliopsida; Poales; Poaceae. The record is from RNAcentral.